Molecule: ribosomal RNA, 256 nt
Filed under: Bacillus thuringiensis
Lineage: Bacteria; Bacillati; Bacillota; Bacilli; Caryophanales; Bacillaceae
Description: partial 16S ribosomal RNA
Rfam family: Bacterial small subunit ribosomal RNA
Source: RNAcentral
UUGCUCUCAAGAAGUUAGCGGCGGACGGGUGAGUAACACGUGGGUAACCUGCCCAUAAGACUGGGAUAACUCCGGGAAACCGGGGCUAAUACCGGAUAAUAUUUUGAACUGCAUGGUUCGAAAUUGAAAGGCGGCUUCGGCUGUCACUUAUGGAUGGACCCGCGUCCCAUUAGCUAGUUUGUGAGGUAACGGCUCACCCAGGGAACGAUGCGUAGCCGACCUGAAAGGGUGGUCCGCCACACUGGGACUGAAACCC